Molecule: long non-coding RNA, 1220 nt
Organism: Lynx canadensis (Canada lynx)
Lineage: Eukaryota; Metazoa; Chordata; Mammalia; Carnivora; Felidae
Exons: 3
Source: RefSeq, a predicted model, not a curated record
UGCUCUUGCCUGCGAGACUGCUGUCGGAGCUUUGCUUCCUAAACAGACCCCACGCCGAGCGUUUAAAGCACGGCUAUUUUCACAGCAGCCACCAGAAGAGAACUUUGCUCCUUCCUCUGUUUGCAGAGGCUCUGAGAAAUGGUCAAGGACUUGGCCCCGAAGCCACAGAUGGACUUAGCAGUGGAUCCCAAGAGCCUUCAACAGCUGAGGCAGAAGAGGCCUGAGGGAGGGGGAGUGUAGCUGGUAGGAAUCUCGUGUUCCAUAAUCGGGCCGCCAGGGCUCUGCAAGGCCCCGAAAUUGUAAGUCAAAGCGCGUGAGAGUAGGUGUCCAUCGUGUGUAUAUUUUCUGCCGGGAGCCACAGCUUACAUCCCAUUCUCAAAGAAUAUGCAGACCCAGAAAGAGGAAGAGCCACAGAACCUAAUCUAAUUCCUUCAUUAUAUGGCUGAUAUGGAAAUUGAGGUUUGGUUCCUUGGACCAAACGGACUGACUCUAUUUGAUAGAUGACUGAUAACUUCAUCAAGAGCUUUUCCCCUAAACCUUGGUUUUGUUUCUGUGAGUUCAUUUCUCUAAUGUUACAACAUAUUCUGAGAGAAAGGAAGACUCUUUGGAAAGUUACAUUGACUUUUAAAGCCACAAGGGGAUCAUUUGGGACAUUCCUACCUCGGCGGUUAUUACCCCGCAGCGCUACCUCUAGCCUUCUCUUUGGUCUCCACGGGGACCCGUUACGUCUCUAACAAGCAAGUAUGAAGACUUAUAGUGCUGGCUUACCAGAAGGGUUUGCUUCGGGAAUUUCACAAGACAGGACUGCUGCUGUCUUGCACGGAAAUUUACAUCCCAUGAAGCAGAAGAGAGAAUGACGAUGGCACAUGAUGGGUCUGUGGAUGGGGCUUCCGGGGUCUGUGGACCCCUGACAUGAGCUGCAAAGACAAGUGGACUCCCUUCUGGCCUGAGGGACUCUGGACCUCUGUGACUUCCAUGAGGGGUAAAGUUCAAUGUUAACCUCACCAACGAGAAGUCAGUUUCAGAAGCUGGCCAUGCCCUGGUUUCUUCCAAGGAGACAAAACAGUGUUUCUCAGAGGGGCCUGUGAGAAGGCACCUCAGAAAUGUAGUGAUUUAUAAGCAGGAUGUUAUUUCCUAUACAGUAGGAAAGCUGGAGGAUCCCUUUAUUUAUUUUUUUUAAAUCUUAAAAAAAAUUUUUUUUAAUGUUUAUUUAUUUUUGA